This 454-nucleotide ribosomal RNA is filed under the name uncultured bacterium. Its description in RNAcentral is "bacterial SSU rRNA". It matches the Rfam family "Bacterial small subunit ribosomal RNA", at positions 340 to 786 of the family's 1533-position model. The record is from RNAcentral.
UACGGAAGGCAGCAGUGGGGAAUAUUGCACAAUGGGCGCAAGCCUGAUGCAGCCAUGCCGCGUGUAUGAAAAAGGCCUUCGGGUUGUAAAGUACUUUCAGUCGUGAGGAAGGUGUUAAGGUUAAUAACCUUAGCAAUUGACGUUAGCGACAGAAGAAGCACCGGCUAACUCCGUGCCAGCAGCCGCGGUAAUACGGAGGGUGCGAGCGUUAAUCGGAAUUACUGGGCGUAAAGGGCACGCAGGCGGUUAAUUAAGUUGGAUGUGAAAUCCCCGGGCUUAACCUGGGAAUAGCAUUCAAGACUGGUUAGCUAGAGUCUUGUAGAGGGGGUAGAAUUCCAUGUGUAGCGGUGAAAUGCGUAGAGAUGUGGAGGAAUACCGGUGGCGAAGGCGGCCCCUGGACAAAGACUGACGCUCAUGUGCGAAAGCGUGGGGAGCAAACGAGGGAUUAGAUACC